This 253-nucleotide ribosomal RNA is filed under the name uncultured bacterium. Its description in RNAcentral is "partial 16S ribosomal RNA". It matches the Rfam family "Bacterial small subunit ribosomal RNA", at positions 524 to 776 of the family's 1533-position model. The record is from RNAcentral.
UACGUAGGAGGCAAGCGUUGUCCGGAAUUACUGGGCGUAAAGCGCGUGUAGGUGGUGGGACAAGUCUGCUGUGAAAGCGCCUGGCUUAACCGGGCGAGGUCGGCGGAAACUGUCCGACUCGAGGACGGUAGAGGGGGGUGGAAUUCCCGGUGUAGUGGUGAAAUGCGUAGAGAUCGGGAGGAACACCUGUGGCGAAGGCGGGUCUCUGGGCCGAUACUGACGCUGAGGAGCGAAAGCGUGGGGAGCGAACAGG